GGAGAGGUGACCGAGCGGCCGAAGGUGCUCGCCUGCUAAGCGAGUGUGUGGGUUGCCCCCGCACCGUGGGUUCGAAUCCCACCCUCUCCGCCG
Molecule: transfer RNA, 93 nt
Filed under: Bacteroidota bacterium
Lineage: Bacteria; Pseudomonadati; Bacteroidota
Description: Bacteroidetes bacterium (marine metagenome) tRNA-Ser
Rfam family: tRNA
About the family: Transfer RNA (tRNA) molecules are approximately 80 nucleotides in length. Their secondary structure includes four short double-helical elements and three loops (D, anti-codon, and T loops).
Source: RNAcentral